GAUGAAGAACGUAGCGAAAUGCGAUUAGUAGUGUGAAUUGCAGAAUUCAGUGAAUCAUCGAAUCUUUGAACGCACAUUGCGCCCCUUGGUAUUCCAUGGGGCAUGCCUGUUCGAGCGUCAUUUGUACCUUCAAGCUUUGCUUGGUGUUGGGUGUUUGUCCAUUCUCUUGCAGAGGGACUCGCCUUAAAGUAAUUGGCAGCCAGUGUUUUGGUUUUGAAGCGCAGCACAAGUCGCGAUUCAAAGCUAUACGCCCGCUUCCACAAGCCUUUUUCACUUUUGACCUCGGAUCAGGUAGGGAUACCCGCUGAACUUAAGCAUAUCAAUAAGCGGAGGA
This 334-nucleotide unclassified non-coding RNA is filed under the name soil metagenome. Its description in RNAcentral is "partial contains 5.8S ribosomal RNA, internal transcribed spacer 2, and large subunit ribosomal RNA". The stretch from base 1 to 120 matches the Rfam family "5.8S ribosomal RNA", at positions 35 to 154 of the family's 154-position model. The record is from RNAcentral.